GUUUGGCCCGUCAGAGGAACAGUCUCGCUGGUCAGAAGCGUUGGCUGGUGAACUCUGCCGUUAGACGCCGCGGUGACACGGGACAUAGGGACCCCAGUGCAAAGUCAGCAAUGAAGCAACUCGCUCUCCUGCUGCUCCUCUUCCCCUUGACCAGGGCGUCCCCUUGCGCUGGGGGCAGCUGUACCACUGACCUGAAACUCGCCAUCCGUGACCUGCUGGACAACUGGGAAGACUCGUCCUGCUCCCAGGGUGACCAGAACUCCCAGGGUCUGCACCGGAGCUGCAAGGAAAUUAAAUCCACUCAGGACGGAGCUG
Molecule: non-coding RNA, 315 nt
Organism: Pelodiscus sinensis (Chinese soft-shelled turtle)
Lineage: Eukaryota; Metazoa; Chordata; Testudines; Trionychidae
Source: RefSeq, a predicted model, not a curated record